UCCCAAGUAAUGGUUCGACUACGAUGUUCCGGUAACUUUAAACCACGCCGGGUGUUGAAAAGGUGGCCAGUUUUAGAUGCAUUGAUGUGUAGUGAUGCAGUGGACAACUGAGGAUGAUACAAUCAACAUGUUCCUAAACUGUGAUGCAGAAACACAAUGGGAGGAUCCAUCCGUCUCUGACCACAACUACACUUUAAAAUCACAACUCAACCUGAAGCAACCUACAUCUGAUAUGGGAAAACAAUGGUGCAGUUUCCCUGACAGGGCUUAUCCUGGUCCCAGGCUAAAAUGCAUAUUU
This is a non-coding RNA of Misgurnus anguillicaudatus (oriental weatherfish), 298 nucleotides long. The record is from RefSeq and is a predicted model, not a curated record. Lineage: Eukaryota; Metazoa; Chordata; Actinopteri; Cypriniformes; Cobitidae.